RNAcentral lists this ribosomal RNA (498 nucleotides) under uncultured bacterium. RNAcentral describes it as "partial 16S ribosomal RNA". It matches the Rfam family "Bacterial small subunit ribosomal RNA", at positions 28 to 507 of the family's 1533-position model. The record is from RNAcentral.
GACGAACGCUGGCGGCGUGCCUAAUACAUGCAAGUCGAGCGGACGGAUGGGAGCUUGCUCCCAGACCGUCAGCGGCGGACGGGUGAGUAACACGUGGGCACCCUGCCUGUAAGACUGGGAUAACUCCGGGAAACCGGGGCUAAUACCGGCUACCUCUUUCCCUCACAUGAGGGAAAGCUGAAAGAUGGCAUCUCGCUAUCACUUACAGAUGGGCCCGCGGCGCAUUAGCUAGUUGGUGAGGUAACGGCUCACCAAGGCGACGAUGCGUAGCCGACCUGAGAGGGUGAUCGGCCACACUGGGACUGAGACACGGCCCAGACUCCUACGGGAGGCAGCAGUAGGGAAUCUUCCGCAAUGGACGAAAGUCUGACGGAGCAACGCCGCGUGAGUGAUGAAGGUUUUCGGAUCGUAAAACUCUGUUGUCAGGGAAGAACAAGUACCGGAGUAACUGCCGGUACCUUGACGGUACCUGACCAGAAAGCCACGGCUAACUACGUG